Molecule: long non-coding RNA, 513 nt
Filed under: Homarus americanus (American lobster)
Lineage: Eukaryota; Metazoa; Arthropoda; Malacostraca; Decapoda; Nephropidae
Description: uncharacterized LOC121857930, transcript variant X2
Source: RNAcentral
AACAAGCCGAUCAGUGGCGAAGAGGAUAAAAGUAAAAGUAAACAGCGUUUGUAGGGGAGAAAUCCACUACAGUGGCACUUGAGGAACUUACGGGUAGUGGAUUGGACGCUUGCAGUUCGGCGUUGUGUCCACCACACAUCACACAUGGACAGUAUGGUGUAUUGAUUUAACUUACCAUCAACACCUAAAGAGAACCAGACUUGACUAAUAACAAAGAAAGUGAGACAGUAGGACAGUUGGUGUAGGGGAUAGAGUGAGGUGGCUGGCUGCACUCCAGAGUUGUAGGAAUAAUGACCAUACAGGCAACAUGGAUCUGGCUCCUACUGCUACUUCAUUAUGACUGCAUGGUUCAGGCCAAAGUGCAGCUCACUCCAGAGGAAAUUGAAAUAAUAGGCAGCAAGCAUAACAUCAGCAGUAUAGUUGUUACACCAGCCCCUGCAACUACCACCAGCAACCCUUUUCAGGAAUCUAGUACUGAUUUUGAAGGGAAUACUACUAGCUCCUUUCCACAAG